UAAUACGUAGGUGGCAAGCGUUACUCGGAAUCACUAGGCGUAAAGCGCAGGUAGGAGGUUUAGUAAGUCUGUUGUGAAAGCUCCCGGCUUAACUGGGAGAGGUCAACGGAAACUGCUAGGCUAGAGUGCGGUAGAGGAAGGUGGAAUUCCCGGUGUAGCGGUGAAAUGCGUAGAUAUCGGGAGGAAUACCUAUGGCGAAAGCAGCCUUCUGGACCGUCACUGACUCUGAUCUGCGAAAGCUAGGGGAGCAAACAGGAUUAGAUACCCUGGUAGUCCUAGCCCUAAACGAUGCUCAUUAGGUGUGGGAGGUAUCGACCCCUUCCGCGCCGUAGCUAACGCAUUAAAUGAGCCGCCUGGGGAGUACGGCCGCAAGGUUG
This 377-nucleotide ribosomal RNA is filed under the name uncultured bacterium. RNAcentral describes it as "bacterial SSU rRNA". It matches the Rfam family "Bacterial small subunit ribosomal RNA", at positions 521 to 896 of the family's 1533-position model. The record is from RNAcentral.